CAGAGUAAAUGGGGAACUUGUUAUUGUAAUAUCGUUGUUCGCUGAUACUUAACUUGUUAUUUGUUCCACAAUAAAAUAAUAA
Long non-coding RNA from Xenia sp. Carnegie-2017, 82 nucleotides. RefSeq lists it as uncharacterized. NCBI's taxonomy places the organism in Eukaryota, Metazoa, Cnidaria, Anthozoa, Malacalcyonacea, Xeniidae. The record is from RefSeq and is a predicted model, not a curated record. The transcript has 3 exons.